Molecule: non-coding RNA, 107 nt
Filed under: Kocuria rosea subsp. polaris
Lineage: Bacteria; Bacillati; Actinomycetota; Actinomycetes; Micrococcales; Micrococcaceae
Description: Kocuria polaris SAM-I sequence
Rfam family: SAM riboswitch aptamer (S box leader)
About the family: The SAM riboswitch is found upstream of a number of genes which code for proteins involved in methionine or cysteine biosynthesis in Gram-positive bacteria. The SAM riboswitch acts at the level of transcription termination control.
Source: RNAcentral
CAUCUAUCCAGAGCGGCCGAGAGACCUGGCUCGUCGACGCCGCAGCAACCAUCCGCGCCCCCGCCACGGGGUGCGCGGAACGGUGCUCCCGCCAGGACCGAUGGAGC